Molecule: long non-coding RNA, 209 nt
Filed under: Ananas comosus (pineapple)
Lineage: Eukaryota; Viridiplantae; Streptophyta; Magnoliopsida; Poales; Bromeliaceae
Description: long non-coding RNA (ACOM_LNC030504)
Source: RNAcentral
AUUUUUUGAGGAUUGUAUGGGAAAAAUUUUAAUUUAAUUUGAACUAAACUAUAUGCCGACGGUUUAGAACUGUUAUAAUAAUUAGUUAAAAUUGCUGCUAAAAUAUAUUUUUGCUAGCGUUUGUAUUAAGUGUCAUUAAAUUAACUGUCACUAUAAAUCAACUUUUUUGUAGUGCGCACUACAGAAAAAUUAGGUUUUAAAAACAGUCG